UUAAAGUGGAAAGCAGUAGGUCUGAGCAGUCAAGGGGUGGACUGUAGUGCCUGCUGUUGGCACCUCACUGGCUGACUGGCCUGCACACCCAGCCUUUAGCCGCAGUGAGCAGCAGCUGCAGACUGCUCACAGCUACACCCUUCUCCUGAGAGUUUCCUGGAAAUGCCUGGAAGAUCUUCCCUCCCCACUGGCCCUCAGCUGGUGGCUUUGAUACAGGCUGGCAGCAGACAAACGAUGCAGGCAGGCAGUGAGACUCAGAUUGGGUCCUCCUGUCGGAACAGCUGGGAUAUGAUGUCCAUGCCCUCUCCCAGGACCCAGGUGGAACUUGAAUACUGAUUCAUCAUACUCACUUUUCAUUUGGAGAGUGAAUUUUGGACUGAAAUAAAGGGAGAUGUUCAGCCUCAGGUGUAGAAGCAGUGAGACAAUUUCCCACCACGGAGGAAGAUGAAGAGCAGGAGAGGAGAGGCUGGCGGCUCCCAGGAGCAGAUCACCUGCCCCCACUGCAAGGCCCCCGUGUGCUCAAUAAACUGACCCUUGCGCAGAGACUAAGGCUCACUUAUUGGAAACUAUUAUUGUUACAGUUACUAAGUAAUUAACAAGUGAUGCAUAGGGCUGGUCAGUUAUGUGACUAUACGUGCGCGUGUGUGCACGCACGAGUGCAUGUUUAGUUCAUUACAGAAACACCAUCAUUUCUUUGUAAUCAGCUGAAAUCACCACUCAUUAGUGGGCCUCUCGUGGGCUAUAACUGAUUUUACAGCCACCUGUCAUUUCUUUUUUCUUUACAACUUUGUGCGUUUGUGUUUUUCAUGGCAUGCUCAGGGUACACUAUGUUCUGCACGCAAGCAGGGGGCUGCACGGGCUCCAGCUCCCCUUCUCAGGCACGUCCCUCUCGAUGUAAUGUGUAGGAUGGAACUUCUUCCCAUGCGCUCUGUGAAGGGGCCCCGCAGCUCCCCAGCUGGACAGCUGCUCUGGAGACUUUGGCAGGGCUGGGCACCUGUGGAGCCUGAGGCCAGACCCAGGGAGCCACACUGUGGGAACCACAGGGCACCUGGAACAUAGGUUUAAUC
Molecule: long non-coding RNA, 1067 nt
Filed under: Homo sapiens (human)
Lineage: Eukaryota; Metazoa; Chordata; Mammalia; Primates; Hominidae
Description: HSALNT0121967
Source: RNAcentral